RNAcentral lists this ribosomal RNA (231 nucleotides) under uncultured bacterium. RNAcentral's name for it is "partial 16S ribosomal RNA". It matches the Rfam family "Bacterial small subunit ribosomal RNA", at positions 524 to 753 of the family's 1533-position model. The record is from RNAcentral.
UACGUAGGGUGCAAGCGUUAAUCGGAAUUACUGGGCGUAAAGCGUGCGCAGGCGGUGAUGUAAGACAGAUGUGAAAUCCCCGGGCUCAACCUGGGAACUGCAUUUGUGACUGCAUCGCUAGAGUACGGCAGAGGGGGAUGGAAUUCCGCGUGUAGCAGUGAAAUGCGUAGAUAUGCGGAGGAACACCGAUGGCGAAGGCAAUCCCCUGGGCCUGUGACUGACGCUCAUGCA